This is a long non-coding RNA of Salvia splendens (bonfire salvia), 546 nucleotides long. RefSeq lists it as uncharacterized. The record is from RefSeq and is a predicted model, not a curated record. The transcript has 2 exons. NCBI's taxonomy places the organism in Eukaryota, Viridiplantae, Streptophyta, Magnoliopsida, Lamiales, Lamiaceae.
UGUCGGUUCGAAUUUGUGAAGGUGAUCUCGCAUUCUCCCUCCCGAACAUAGUAUAGUGACAUAGCAAAUCAUAGCGAUACCCUUCAGAAUUGAUUUUUUUUUAUCGGAAUCGUAUUAUGUUGAAUUCAUGAUUUGUAGAUAAGGGAUUCAAUGAUUGCUUGACUGUGGAGGGAAAUUAGAGUUGAUAAGAUAUUGAGGGAAGGGAAAAAAAGAGGGUAAUUUCAAGCAGGCGCUAAGAAGCAUCGAUGCGUUCCCGAGAGCAGAAGACCAAAUCCGUGGAGUAUGAUGAACCGCUAAAAUGAAUUAAGGGUUUGGCAUUCAAGUUUGACUGGUGGUGUUGGGAGAGAGAGAGAGAGAGAGCAUAAUUGGUUGGAGCAAUGGACCAAUGUACUAAUCUUUUUCUGUGAAUUUUCAUUGAUGCGGCUUGGUAUAAUAGGCCAUGCAAUAAAUUGUAUGGUCACCUUAGGGUGUGAACUAUUUUGCCUGAUUCCUGUGAGGCAGGUAUUUUAGAUGCCAUUGAUUUUUUAUAGUGAUGAAUUGGUUCAC